RNAcentral lists this ribosomal RNA (253 nucleotides) under uncultured bacterium. RNAcentral's name for it is "partial 16S ribosomal RNA". It matches the Rfam family "Bacterial small subunit ribosomal RNA", at positions 524 to 776 of the family's 1533-position model. The record is from RNAcentral.
GACGGAGGGUGCAAGCGUUAUUCGGAUUUAUUGGGCGUAAAGAGCAUGUAGGCGGUCGGUCAAGUCUGAUGUGAAAGCCCGGGGCUUAACCUCGGAAGGGCGUUGGAAACUGGUCGACUUGAGUUCGGGAGAGGAAAGCGGAAUUCCGGGUGUAGAGGUGAAAUUCGUAGAUAUCCGGAGGAACACCGGUGGCGAAGGCGGCUUUCUGGACCGAAACUGACGCUGAGAUGCGAAAGCGUGGGGAGCAAACAGG